UAGGGAAUCUUCGGCAGUGGGGGCAACCCUGACCGAGCAACGCCGCGUGAGUGAAGAAGGUUUUCGGAUCGUAAAGCUCUGUUGUAAGAGAAGAACGAGUGUGAGAGUGGAAAGUUCACACUGUGACGGUAACUUACCAGAAAGGGACGGCUAACUACGUGCCAGCAGCCGCGGUAAUACGUAGGUCCCGAGCGUUAUCCGGAUUUAUUGGGCGUAAAGCGAGCGCAGGCGGUUAGAUAAGUCUGAAGUUAAAGGCUGUGGCUUAACCAUAGUACGCUUUGGAAACUGUUUAACUUGAGUGCAGAAGGGGAGAGUGGAAUUCCAUGUGUAGCGGCGAAAUGCGUAGAUAUAUGGAGGAACACCGGUGGCGAAAGCGGCUCUCUGGUCUGUAACUGACGCUGAGGCUCGAAAGCGUGGGGAGCAAACAGGAUUAGAUACCCUGGUAGUCCACGCCGUAAACGAUGAGUGCUAGGUGUUAGACCCUUUCCGGGGUUUAGUGCCGCAGCUAACGCAUUAAGCACUCCGCCUGGGGAGUACGACCGCAAAGGUUG
This 551-nucleotide ribosomal RNA is filed under the name uncultured bacterium. RNAcentral's name for it is "bacterial SSU rRNA". It matches the Rfam family "Bacterial small subunit ribosomal RNA", at positions 355 to 896 of the family's 1533-position model. The record is from RNAcentral.